This 442-nucleotide ribosomal RNA is filed under the name uncultured bacterium. Its description in RNAcentral is "partial 16S ribosomal RNA". It matches the Rfam family "Bacterial small subunit ribosomal RNA", at positions 339 to 795 of the family's 1533-position model. The record is from RNAcentral.
CCUCGGGCGGCAGCAGUGGGGAAUAUUGGGCAAUGGGCGCAAGCCUGACACAGCAACGCCGCGUGAAGGAAGAAGGCUUUCGGGUUGUAAACUUCUUUUCUCAGGGACGAAGCAAGUGACGGUACCUGAGGAAUAAGACACGGCUAACUAAGUGCCAGCAGCCGCGGUAAUACGUAGGUGGCAAGCGUUAUCCGGAUUUACUGGGUGUAAAGGGCGUGUAGGCGGGGACGUAAUUCAGAUGUGAAAACCACGGGCUCAACCUGUGGCCUGCAUUUGAAACUGUGUUUCUUGAGUACUGGAGAGGCAGACGGAAUUCCUAGUGUAGCGGUGAAAUGCGUAGAUAUUAGGAGGAACACCAGUGGCGAAGGCGGUCUGCUGGACAGCAACUGACGCUGAGGCGCGAAAACGUGGGGAGCAAACAGGAUUAGAUACCCUAGUAGUC